CUACUCUGCGACCCCAGGCAGUUGGAGGCACCUGUGCUCUGGAUUUGCUCACAGUGCCCAAACUAUUCCACUCUCCCCAGUACCCCAGUGUAUAAAGUGUAGGUGCUCACAAAGCGACAGGUCACAGAAACCUUCAGUCUGCUCCAAGCCCGCAGGAACACUCACCUGAAGCCAUCCAUAGCCAUCUCAGCGCCAGCUCUGAGUUGGGACACGUCACCCCAAGUAUCAGCACCAGGCAAGAGGACCUAGAGACCCUGCGAGCCUUGGAAAGGGCUGAUAUCAUAGCCGAAUACCAUCAGCUGAGGCCCAGACAAGUACCAUAGAUGCUAGAGAACCCACUAGAGGUGGGGACCCUUCCUGCAAGGGCAGGUGAAUCCCAGGAAUGGAUCAGAGGCAAGCAUGACAGGUCAGCCCAGAGAAGGACCACAGUCACCAGGAACAAAUGAGAUGCUGGGGAUGGACCCAGGCAUCAGGAGCAAGUGAGGGUCCAUCUUGGAUCUUAGACACCAGUAGCCGAUGAACCCAGGUGGGGAUCACAGUCACCAGGUCCCCAUGAGGCACAGGUGGUUGUAUACUUAGGUAUGUGGCAGCAGGUAUGGCCCAAAUGGUAUCAUAAGCAGUAACAGCAAUUAUGUACUGCGUGAGGAUCAUAGCAGAGUCCAGCCAAUGAGAACUAAGGGGUGUUGUUGCCAGUAGGAGCAGGUAAGGCCAGGUGGGGAUCAUAGUCCUCAGGUGCUCCAGAUGUCCAGAUGUAUAGCCAGCCAAUAGAGAUGAGACCCAAUCAGGGAUCUGAAUCUAAGCUGAGAAGCGAGGGCCCAGGCAGAGAUGAAAAUCAGAGGAGCAGAGCCUGAUGGCUGGGGGCAUCAGGUCUGGGGACAGCUGGCCAGGAGCAUCAGAACCAGGUGAGGCCCAGGAGAGGAUCAGAGCCAAGGAUGAGCCUGGUCAGCCCAGACAAGGACCAUAGUCACUAGGAACAUUUGAGGCCCUGGGGACUGACCAGGGCAUCAGUAGAAGUGAGGGUCCAUCUUGGCUCCUGGUGAUUGGUAGCCAAUGAGCCCAGGUGUGGACCAUGGUCACCAGGUCCAGGUGAUGCUCAUGUGGGGACCGGUCACCAGAUCAGGUCAGGCCCAGGUGGGGAUCAUCUCUGGUAAAGCAGAUAAGGCUGUCAGGCUGCUUCCAUUGGGCAAACAGUCCCUUCUUCUCAUGCCCAGCGAAUCUGAGAGG
This is a long non-coding RNA of Canis lupus familiaris (dog), 1224 nucleotides long. RefSeq lists it as uncharacterized. NCBI's taxonomy places the organism in Eukaryota, Metazoa, Chordata, Mammalia, Carnivora, Canidae. The transcript is spliced from 3 exons. The record is from RefSeq and is a predicted model, not a curated record.